CAGCCGCCGCGGGAAUACGUAGGGUGCAAGCGUUAAUCGGAAUUACUGGGCGUAAAGCGUGCGCAGGCGGUUAUAUAAGACAGAUGUGAAAUCCCCGGGCUCAACCUGGGAACUGCAUUUGUGACUGUAUAGCUAGAGUACGGCAGAGGGGGAUGGAAUUCCGCGUGUAGCAGUGAAAUGCGUAGAUAUGCGGAGGAACACCGAUGGCGAAGGCAAUCCCCUGGGCCUGUACUGACGCUCAUGCACAAAAGCGUGGGGAGCAAACAGGAUUAGAGACCCCAGUAGUCCCUGUCUCUUAUAC
RNAcentral lists this ribosomal RNA (301 nucleotides) under uncultured bacterium. RNAcentral describes it as "partial 16S ribosomal RNA". It matches the Rfam family "Bacterial small subunit ribosomal RNA", at positions 509 to 807 of the family's 1533-position model. The record is from RNAcentral.